Long non-coding RNA from Cydia pomonella (codling moth), 153 nucleotides. RefSeq lists it as uncharacterized. NCBI's taxonomy places the organism in Eukaryota, Metazoa, Arthropoda, Insecta, Lepidoptera, Tortricidae. The transcript has 4 exons. The record is from RefSeq and is a predicted model, not a curated record.
CUAACCAAAGUAGGAAACGUAGAUAAAACUGCUGCUAAGAUUGCCUUGGAUAUUAUUGAUCAUGAUCAAAAAACAACAGAGGAUAUUAAAAAAUUGGAAGCUUUUGCAAAAGACAGCGAAGCUGACAUUGGGAAACUAUCUGAAACAAUAAAG